RNAcentral lists this ribosomal RNA (292 nucleotides) under uncultured Bacteroidota bacterium. Its description in RNAcentral is "uncultured Bacteroidetes bacterium partial 16S ribosomal RNA". It matches the Rfam family "Bacterial small subunit ribosomal RNA", at positions 59 to 339 of the family's 1533-position model. Lineage: Bacteria; Pseudomonadati; Bacteroidota. The record is from RNAcentral.
AAGUCGAGGGGAAACGACAUCGAAAGCUUGCUUUUGAUGGGCGUCGACCGGCGCACGGGUGAGUAACGCGUAUCCAACCUGCCCAUCACUUGGGGAUAACCUUGCGAAAGUAAGACUAAUACCCCAUGGUCUCCACGGAUGGCAUCUGAAAUGGAGUAAAGGUUUCGGCCGGUUGCGGAUGGGGAUGCGUCCGAUUAGCUUGACGGCGGGGUAACGGCCCACCGUGGCAUCGAUCGGUAGGGGUUCUGAGAGGAAGGUCCCCACAUUGGGACUGAGACACGGCCCAGACUCC